UCCCUGGUGGUCUAGUGGUUAAGACUCUGAGCUUCCAAUGCAGGUGGCCUGGGUUUAAUCCUUGAUCAGGGAA
RNAcentral lists this transfer RNA (73 nucleotides) under Ovis aries (sheep). It matches the Rfam family "tRNA". Rfam says of the family: Transfer RNA (tRNA) molecules are approximately 80 nucleotides in length. Their secondary structure includes four short double-helical elements and three loops (D, anti-codon, and T loops). Lineage: Eukaryota; Metazoa; Chordata; Mammalia; Artiodactyla; Bovidae. The record is from Rfam by way of RNAcentral.